This 264-nucleotide ribosomal RNA is filed under the name uncultured bacterium. RNAcentral's name for it is "partial 16S ribosomal RNA". It matches the Rfam family "Bacterial small subunit ribosomal RNA", at positions 793 to 1055 of the family's 1533-position model. The record is from RNAcentral.
GUCCACGCCGUAAACGAUGUCGACUAGCCGUUGGGCCCUUAUGGGGUUUAGUGGCGCAGCUAACGCAUUAAGUCGACCGCCUGGGGAGUACGGCCGCAAGGUUAAAACUCAAAUGAAUUGACGGGGGCCCCGCACAAGCGGUGGAGCAUGUGGUUUAAUUCGAUGCAACGCGAAGAACCUUACCUACCCUUGACAUCCCCAGAAUUUGGCAGAGAUGCCUUAGUGCCUUCGGGAACUGGGAGACAGGUGCUGCAUGGCUGUCGU